UUGGGGAAGGACUAUAUAUUGGCUGCAUGAGUGAGAGAGGGAACAACGUGAUUUUGAAGGAGACGGUACAUAGAGCUGGAGAGAACGCCAAGGAAAUAAUAUGAGGCUGAGGCAGCUGGGGAGAAAGAAGCCGAAAUGCAAUGAUCUGGGGACUUCAGAAAGAGACUCAAGUCUUCCUCCAGCAGGUUGUACUGAUGAGGAAGCCAAGGCAAAGAGAGGUGAUGGAGCUUGCCCAAGGUCACGCAACAAGUCAUUGGCAGCUCCAAGAACAGAACCCAGG
Long non-coding RNA from Mauremys reevesii (Reeves's turtle), 280 nucleotides. RefSeq lists it as uncharacterized. The record is from RefSeq and is a predicted model, not a curated record. NCBI's taxonomy places the organism in Eukaryota, Metazoa, Chordata, Testudines, Geoemydidae. The transcript is spliced from 3 exons.